RNAcentral lists this ribosomal RNA (524 nucleotides) under uncultured bacterium. RNAcentral's name for it is "partial 16S ribosomal RNA". It matches the Rfam family "Bacterial small subunit ribosomal RNA", at positions 28 to 523 of the family's 1533-position model. The record is from RNAcentral.
GACGAACGCUGGCGACGUGCUUAACACAUGCAAGUCGAACGGACAGACAGAGAGCUUGCUCUCUUGAAGUUAGUGGCGAACGGGUGAGUAACGCGUAAUCAACCUGCCCUUCAGAGGGGGAUAACAACGGGAAACCGUUGCUAAUACCGCGUACGAUUCAUGAACGGCAUCGUUUAUGAAUGAAAGGUGGCCUCUAUGUAUAAGCUAUCGCUGAAGGAGGGGAUUGCGUCUGAUUAGCUAGUUGGAGGGGUAACGGCCCAUCAAGGCAAUGAGCAGUAGCCGGUCUGAGAGGAUGAACGGCCACAUUGGGACUGAGACACGGCCCAAACUCCUACGGGAGGCAGCAGUGGGGAAUCUUCCGCAAUGGACGAAAGUCUGACGGAGCAACGCCGCGUGAGUGAUGAAGGUCUUCGGAUUGUAAAGCUCUGUUAAUCGGGACGAAAGAGUUCUGCGUGAAUAAUGCAGAAAAGUGACGGUACCGGAAUAGAAAGCCACGGCUAACUACGUGCCAGCCGCCGCAGUAA